This is a long non-coding RNA of Coturnix japonica (Japanese quail), 1590 nucleotides long. RefSeq lists it as uncharacterized. NCBI's taxonomy places the organism in Eukaryota, Metazoa, Chordata, Aves, Galliformes, Phasianidae. The record is from RefSeq and is a predicted model, not a curated record.
GCGCCUCGCGGUGGCGGGGGAAGUUGUUUCCGGUCGCGAAGGGGACGACGGGAAUUGCAGUUCGGGGUAGAGCGCGACGGCGCCCCCCGGCGGUGGGGGGACAUGGAUGCGGCCUAAACGGGAACCGGGACCGAAACGGAGCCUGAAACGGGGCCUGAAACGGGGCCUGUAACGGGGGAUUGGGCUGAGAAAGAGGAGGGUGAGGAGGAAGAGAAAGAGGAGCGACACGGAGAGGAGGAAGUGCAUAAACACCACCAGCAACAAAGCUGCAGCAAAAAGACCUUCAACAAACAGCUGCUAAUGCUGAAGCACAGGGAUGUGGGAAGCACUGACUCCAAGCAUCGUGUGCUGCUGUUUCCAAGCCAGUUCAGACACCGUUUCCUCUUCAGCUCUUCUGCUUCACAGUUGGGAACAUACAGCACGACCAGCUUUGCUACAGACGCCUUUUCCUCACCCUCUGUUUAACCUACCAGGAUGUGCAGCUUUUCUCCAGCCUUAACUCCAAGAGAACAAAGCUCCGAAGUGGCUAAAAUUAGAAGCGUAAACAAUCGUUGCUACAGAAAUAGGAGAGGAAAUAUCAGAGGAGCAAUGCCACUCAAUUCCUGAUCUCAAUUAUCCAAGCCACGUCAGAUGCAAAUGAUUGUUUACGCACCUCCUGGGCCAUCCUAUUGCUGCGCUGCUUUAUGUCUCUGAGAUGUAAUUCAUGUUUUGCUUCACGAGGACCGAAAGAAAACCAACCUGGGGGGCCAAAGAGAUGCACAUGAAGCAGUGUCCUCCCAGCAGCUGCACAUGACAGUGUUGUUGCCCCACAUUGGAACGCAUUGCUGGGCUUUGCCAGGAAGGGGAGAAGCAAAGAACAUUCGGGACUACGUGCAGAGCUGCCACGGAUCUGUUCUGCCUCUUGCAUUGGCCUGAGGGAUGCAGUCAUUUGGGGAGGAUGCAAAACCUGAUGCAAAGUCUGCCUGAUUGCAUCUGCUGAGCGCAGAUCGCUUCGGGAGCGGCUGGUUGUGUUCACUCCAUAUUCUGUGUGCUACAACUGUGGGGCAUUUGGGACCUGUUCUUCCUGACCUGCCUCCACCCCCAGCAGCUGCUGCAAAUGGAAUAACACACAGCAAGGCACAACUCGAGCCAGCAACCUCCCCCCAAAAUCCAACUACUUCUCACUUAACUGCUAUUAUCAUCCUAGAUGCAACUGUGGGAAUCAAAUGUUGUUUGUGCCUUUAGAACAAGAGAAGAAUCUUUUCUUUCAAGGUCUCAGUAUAUAAGUGAAGUAGUUUGUAGUUAUUAGGUAGAAGUUAUUACGUACAAAGACUGCAGCUCCUGUCUGUCCAGCUGUCUGAAAUAGAACUAACAAGAUGCCUGUAUAAACUAGCAACAAUGUAUGUUUUAGUGUUUUGUUGUACGCAUUGUAAAAAUAUACAAGUCGUGACAUACCUUAGGAUGUGCCUGAAGAGAUAUCGGGAAGGACUGGAAUCACCCCCCCCCCUCUUUGUUUAACAAAGGUCUCUAGGACAGAAUGGAAGAAGCUUUGAAGGGAAUCAACAUAUCAAUACGAUAAGAGUACCGAGACAUCUUGGAAACAAAACCAGG